Ribosomal RNA from Lupinus angustifolius (narrow-leaved blue lupine), 165 nucleotides. It matches the Rfam family "Bacterial small subunit ribosomal RNA", at positions 1036 to 1201 of the family's 1533-position model. NCBI's taxonomy places the organism in Eukaryota, Viridiplantae, Streptophyta, Magnoliopsida, Fabales, Fabaceae. The record is from Rfam.
AGGUGGUGCAUGGUUGUCGUCAACUCGUGCCGUAAGGUGUUGGGUUAAGUCCCGCAACGAGCGCAACCCUCAUAUUUAGUUCACAAUGUCGAGUUUGGAACCCUGAGUAGACUGCAGGUGAUAAGCCUACAACACUGGAAUAUCCACUUAAUACCCUCAGUCCCC